UGAGGAAUCUUCCGCAAUGGGCGAAAGCCUGACGGAGCGACACCGCGUGAAGGAUGACGCCUUUAUUGGUGUAAACUUCUUUUCUGUGGGAAGAUAAUGACGGUACCACAGGAAUAAGGGGCGGCAAACUACGUGCCAGCAGCCGCGGUAAUACGUAGGCCCCAAGCGUUAUCCGGAAUUACUGGGCGUAAAGAGUGCGUAGGCGGAGUGGAAAGUCAGAUGUGAAAGGCUGGGGCUCAACCCCAUGUUUGCAUCCGAAACUUCCACCCUAGAAUGAGGGAGAGGUAAGCAGAAUAGUAUGAGUAGGGGUGCAAUCCGUUGAUACAUACUAGAAUACCAAAAGCGAAGGCAGCUUACUGGAACUUUAUUGACGCUGAGGCACGAAAGCGUGGGGAGCGAAAAGG
This 404-nucleotide ribosomal RNA is filed under the name uncultured bacterium. RNAcentral describes it as "bacterial SSU rRNA". It matches the Rfam family "Bacterial small subunit ribosomal RNA", at positions 355 to 776 of the family's 1533-position model. The record is from RNAcentral.